This 495-nucleotide ribosomal RNA is filed under the name uncultured bacterium. Its description in RNAcentral is "partial 16S ribosomal RNA". It matches the Rfam family "Bacterial small subunit ribosomal RNA", at positions 28 to 507 of the family's 1533-position model. The record is from RNAcentral.
GAUGAACGCUGGCGGCGUGCCUAAUACAUGCAAGUCGAACGCUGAAGGAGGAGCUUGCUCUUCUGGAUGAGUUGCGAACGGGUGAGUAACGCGUAGGUAACCUGCCUGGUAGCGGGGGAUAACUAUUGGAAACGAUAGCUAAUACCGCAUGACAACAGUUAUUGCAUGAUAACUGUUUAAAAGGGGCAACUGCUCCACUACCAGAUGGACCUGCGUUGUAUUAGCUAGUUGGUGAGGUAACGGCUCACCAAGGCGACGAUACAUAGCCGACCUGAGAGGGGGAUCGGCCACACUGGGACUGAGACACGGCCCAGACUCCUACGGGAGGCAGCAGUAGGGAAUCUUCGGCAAUGGACGGAAGUCUGACCGAGCAACGCCGCGUGAGUGAAGAAGGUUUUCGGAUCGUAAAGCUCUGUUGUAAGAGAAGAACGAGUGUGAGAGUGGAAAGUUCACACUGUGACGGUAUCUUACCAGAAAGGGACGGCUAACUACGUG